This is a long non-coding RNA of Neopelma chrysocephalum (saffron-crested tyrant-manakin), 1921 nucleotides long. RefSeq lists it as uncharacterized. The record is from RefSeq and is a predicted model, not a curated record. The transcript has 3 exons. Lineage: Eukaryota; Metazoa; Chordata; Aves; Passeriformes; Pipridae.
UUGAUAAAAUCAUGUGGCACACAGGGCUUCCUGUUCUAAAGGAUAAACCUGUUUCUUAUGGAUGACUUGUAGCUCAAACUGCUUCAGGCCAUGGUGAUUACCCUGUUGAAGAUUUCCGUUUGGGGAGGGGAUCAGUGCUAGUUUGAGACCAGCCAUGUGGGACACUGCAGACAUACCUGCUGAAAAUUUAAACACUUCAUGAGGAGACUGAAUCACCAAAGGUGGGACACCCAUUGGUCAUUUCCAUAUAUUUACCCUAAACACAGUUAUAGGAAAAAGUGAAAGCUGCAAUGGGAUGGCUCAGAGAAGAGCAACAGGAGCGAGGCAGAGAACUGUCUUACUCAGAGGAGCAGGAAGUUCCUGCAGUUCAUCAUCAGCUUCUGUUGGCUAUCUACAGGCACAGGAAUGAGCACUUGAUUUUAUCAAAAAAAUCCACACUACAAUUUACAUUUCAUUCUUUCACUUUGGAGCCUUGCAGUUUUAUCAGAUGCUUUCAUUUUGGAUUAAUGUUUUCUUCAGCUGGCAUCCUAUGGGGAGGACUCUUUUUCACCACCCGCUUUUUUUUCCCCUAGUAUAGAGUAAAAUCUCUGCAAGGACUCUUUUAAUAAAUGCUCUGACUUAUAUGAGUAUUCAUAUUUGAAUGGGCACAGUUCAAAAAAGAUUAAGUUAGAAACCUCAGAGUUGGCUUGUUUGUAGUCUUCAUUACACAACAUAAAGCAGUGCUAUUAUGAAUACCUAAUUCCAAAAUUCUGAAUAUGCAUGUUUAUGCAUAAAUGUAGCAUUUGAUUUUAAGAAGAUUUAAAAAAUGUGAAAUAUAGUUUAGGAUACAAAAGGGAAAGGCCAGAUAUUUUAGACAUUUGAAGAAGUCACAAUAUUUUUUUUGUGUAAGUAUGGAUCACAGAGGAGCAUAUUUCCAUCCAAAGGAUUACCUUCAGAUUUUAAAAAAUAUCAGCAUUUUGAACCAUUCUUAAUAAUUCUUUAAAUCUUUUACUUUUAUUUGUUCUGUUAAAAUAUUUACCAUUAUUUUGUAAUGACAUUUGUAAUUUAUUACUUUAAAAUACAUAUGAGAUAGUUUUAUUUCUUUAAUGCAUUUUCUAACAAAACAUUCUGCUGAAAACAGUGUUGAAAUUACAUCAAAUGAAAACAUUUGAUUUUGCAAUAGAUCUUAAUUUAUUAAACCAAUUGCUGAUUAUAUUGUGCUUAUCAGGUUUAAAGGGUCACCCUUAACUGUGGUAUAAAAAUCUGAAUCUUCUAUCUCAAACGUGGACCACAUAAUGUUAUGUAGUACUCAAAUUUAGUAUCGCUUUCUCACUGUACUAUUAGUGCUUUGGAUCAGCCUGAUCUCUGUAGAAGAGGUUUUUACUUCUACACAACAUGCCCAUUGUGUGAAAACUAGCUGGGAGUUAUUCUUCAGAAAAAAUGCAGCUAACAAUUUUUAAAUAGGUUUUUAUUGUGUACUAAAUGAUAGAAUUUUUUAAGCAGUAAGUUACCUAUUUUAAAGCUUAUUUUAGCUUCUGCCAUUUCAUUUAUAAUUUUAAAUUAUACAUAUUCCCAUGGUUUAACUUUCAUGGUUGUCUUCAACUUAACCAAUUAUUGAAGAUUCAGAGUAUAAUCUUGGGGAAAGCUUUACCAUGAGUUUCAUGUACUCUUAUGGUUGUUUCUUUGAAAACUGAUAAUUUAUCAAUUCUCUUGUUGGUUUGGUUGGUUGGUUGGGUUUUUGUUUGUAUGUAGGUUUUGUUUUGUUUUAUUUUGUUUAACGUAAGUUACUUGAGCCAGAGAGUAGUAAUUACAAAAUUCCUACCGGGUGACUUGGAAGAGAGAAAAUUUUUUCAAAUAUUCCUGUUCAACAGCUUUCUUCCAACUCACCAAUGUGUGAAUGAUAGAAAACCCCAAACAAAAUAAAACAAAAAAAAACAACCCC